AUUGAACGCUGGCGGCAGGCCUAACACAUGCAAGUCGAGCGAGCGGCGGACGGGUGAGUAAUGUAUGGGAAACUGCCCGAUGGAGGGGGAUCACUACUGGAAACGGUAGCUAAUACCGCAUACUAUCAGAUGUGCCCAGAUGGGAUUAGCUAGUAGGUGGGGGAAUGGCUCCCCUAGGCGACGAUCCCUAGCUGGUCUGAGAGGAUGACCAGCCACACUGGAACUGAGACACGGUCCAGACUCCUACGGGAGGCAGCAGUGGGGAAUAUUGCACAAUGGGCGCAAGCCUGAUGCAGCCAUGCCGCGUGUAUGAAGAAGGCCUUAGGGUUGUAAAGUACUUUCAGCGAGGAGGCGUGACUCGCAGAAGAAGCACCGGCUAACUCCGUGCCAGCAGCCGCGGUAAUAC
RNAcentral lists this ribosomal RNA (406 nucleotides) under uncultured bacterium. Its description in RNAcentral is "partial 16S ribosomal RNA". It matches the Rfam family "Bacterial small subunit ribosomal RNA", at positions 30 to 526 of the family's 1533-position model. The record is from RNAcentral.